AACGCGAAGAACCUUACCUACCCUUGACAUGUCUAGUAUGGGCACCGGAGACGGAGUCCUUCAGUUCGGCUGGCUAGAACACAGGUGCUGCAUGGCCGUCGUCAGCUCGUGUCGUGAGAUGUUGGGUUAAGUCCCGCAACGAGCGCAACCCUCGCCUUUAGUUGCCAUCAUUUAGUUGGGCACUCUAGAGGGACUGCCGGUGAUAAGCCGGAGGAAGGUGGGGAUGACGUCAAGUCCUCAUGGCCCUUACGGGUAGGGCUACACACGUGCUACAAUGGUGGUGACAGUGGGCAGCGACACAGUGAUGUGAUGCUAAUCUCAAAAAGCCAUCUCAGUUCAGAUUGUACUCUGCAACUCGAGUACAUGAAGUUGGAAUCGCUAGUAAUCGUAGAACAGCAUGCUACGGUGAAUACGUUCCCGGGUCUUGUACACACCG
This 436-nucleotide ribosomal RNA is filed under the name uncultured Pseudomonadota bacterium. RNAcentral's name for it is "bacterial SSU rRNA". It matches the Rfam family "Bacterial small subunit ribosomal RNA", at positions 958 to 1392 of the family's 1533-position model. The record is from RNAcentral. Lineage: Bacteria; Pseudomonadati; Pseudomonadota.